UAGCUCAGUGGUAGAGUGCUUGCCUUGCAUGCAUGAGGCCGUGGCUUCAAUUCCUC
RNAcentral lists this transfer RNA (56 nucleotides) under Dipodomys ordii (Ord's kangaroo rat). It matches the Rfam family "tRNA", at positions 8 to 63 of the family's 71-position model. From Rfam's summary of the family: Transfer RNA (tRNA) molecules are approximately 80 nucleotides in length. The record is from Rfam by way of RNAcentral. Lineage: Eukaryota; Metazoa; Chordata; Mammalia; Rodentia; Heteromyidae.